RNAcentral lists this long non-coding RNA (2650 nucleotides) under Rattus norvegicus (Norway rat). Its description in RNAcentral is "long non-coding RNA NONRATT033703". The record is from RNAcentral. Lineage: Eukaryota; Metazoa; Chordata; Mammalia; Rodentia; Muridae.
AUCCUGGUGGCCUGUAGGUGAGAUAGAAGACAGAGGAUAACGGUGUUCCUGCUAGGAGGUAUUUCACCAAUUGCUUUCCACUAUUGGGAAGUUGAUUACUGGCAUGGGGCCGGGGAUGAAAAGAUGUUUUCAUUGCUAGACAACAGGAAAUGAGAAGAGCAACAGAAACCCAAGUAACAAGGUCAUCAAGAUUUGAAGACACCAGGGAUCCUAUGGGCUGCAGCCUCAACCUGAGAGCCGGAGCAAACCCUCCACCCUUAGUUGGCUUUGGAGGACAUUUUGUCACAGUACGAAAGGUAAUGUACACGCGGUUAACAUCUCUACUUAUAUCAAUUUCAUAUGUGUGUGGCAGUUCAGUAAGAUGGCCUGGGGGGGAAGAACCCAGUGUUGUGCUAGGUAGUAUCAGAUGUAACGUAAUCCCCCUUGCCCUAUACUCCUGAGAGCAAAGGACAAACACACACGUGUGUAAUCCUAUCUGCAUUCUCACGGUCAAGCUAAGGGCACAGCAAAUAGACUAAGGGACUUGUUGAACUAUGUCACUAUGUCACUAUUGCGGGAUAGGUGAUCCUUCUGAAAUCGGUUCCUUAUUCUCAACACUGGACUUAGUCAGUUACGGGCAGUAAAGUUCCGUUUAGGGGGAAGUAAAACCCAACACCUCUCAAAAUGAACAGACAGAGGGAAAUCUGUUUUCAUUUUCAUGUGGGCAACAGAAAAGAAAUGUCUUAAAUACCAUGCACAGAAUAGUAGGGCUUAAGUAAUAUCCGAGAACGAACACUUGGCCCUAGGAAGGUCCAGUGGGAGUUCCACUGAUCAGCUGGGUCAUUCUGAUAAAGCUUGGGAACUUACCAGGGGAAGAGGGAGGCACGUGACUUUAAUGUUGUAGGUGAAAUUUAGUUACAAGUUCAACUCGUGUAGCCAAAUGGGUUGGCGGAAGGCAGGGUGUGCAGAAACUCAUUAGGUAUGCAUUAAUUAAGCGGCUCAUUAUUGCAUCCAUUUGUUAAUUAAAUUUUUGAAGAAUUGCAAUUACAGCCUUUCGUCGUCACCUGGCAGACCUUCAGGCCCCAGCUGUACAAGAUGCAGAUGAGCGACUUCAGCUUUCAGACUUUAUUUUCUGGCUGUGCCCUCGGGCCUUUUUUUCUUAGAUGGUGAUCUUUUGGGCAGAAAGAUAACUGAAAGUUGACGAUUCUGACUAUGAGGAAAGGCAAUUUGGCUUCAACCUCUCCAUGUCACCCAAGGCUCUCAGAAGGAAGGGACAUUGUUAUUAAAAUUACUUCACUGUUACUGAUUGUUUUCGGGAAAUUAGCUUUUCUAGCUUGUGUUGUGUGUUGUGACAAAUGUACAGAUCCAUGUAUGUACCACUCUAAUAAAACCGCCUUGGUCAGCCACGAAAAGCCACUUUCCUAGCCCCGUGUCCCUGUCUGUGGCUUCCAACAGCCACUCAUCUGGCCUCCGCCUUUCAUUUUGAUUUUCAAGAAAGCUGUUCCAAUGGAAUCAUAUCGAAUGUAACCUUUUGAGACUUUUUCGGAGCUGGGGACCGAACCCAGGGCCUUGCGCUUCCUAGGCAAGCGCUCUACCACUGAGCUAAAUCCCCAACCCCUUGAGACUGACUUCUAAGCAGCUUUUCAAUGAGGAUAUAAAAUUAGAUCAUUUCCCUCUCUUUCUCCCUUUGGAUUCUGCACAUGGCCCUACCUUUCUCCCUCCCAGAUUCGUGGCCUCUUUUCCCUUUACUUGUUAUUGUUACAUUAUAUGUGCAUAACUAUAGAAAUACAGCCUGCUCGGUUUGUUACCUGUGUGUACCUGGGGCUGGCCACUCAGUCUCAAAUAACUGACUAUGGGGCUCGUCCCUGGGGAAGACUAAUUCUCCCACUCUCCGCAUUCUCAGUCGCUUACAGUUCUUUGUUUAGGGGUAAGGUCAUAGCACACACACUCGCACAGUUCCAAUGAAGUUAUUAUCACUUGGGCUGACAAUGCUUCUCCGAAAAGCCACAUACUGUCUAACAAAACACCCAGUAUCAGGCAUGAAAAGACUCCCUUUCAAGUGAGUCAGGGGAGUCCAAAAGAUUCCUAAAAUAUAGAACCAUUGCUGAUGCUCUACGUUGCCUCCCAGAGGUUGAGGGUAAGUCCUAUUGCUAAAGACGCCACGAAUUUUAGACAGGGCUUGGAGGAGCCAAGCAGGAUCUAACACAAAAUAGAAGAUGCUGUGCAAACUUCCAAGGGAGGGAGGCAAUCAGCAGGCCUACCUGCUACAAUGCCCAUGACCCACAACAGUGGGCAGCAUGCAUGAUACCCCGGAGAAUGUACAGUGCCGUAGCCAGCAGCAUGGGACAAGAAGGAAGAUAGGCAUGGUUAAAGGAUCUGCUUCACUGAAGAGAAAGAGGCUAAUGAGAACUCAAGGACAGCCUGUAUCAGUCUUGAAACCCUUUUAAGGAGCUGGAUUGAAGAGCAGACUUGUAGAACCAUGACAGUCCAGCUGAGGUAAACGGUUUGCUGGGGAGAGCUUUGGAAACUGACCAGGCUGUUGAAUUUGCUUCUUAGCUCUGGAGUUCAAAUGAUGCAAGACCUGCUGGUCACACAUACAUGGAAGUGAGGCAGUGCAUGUGCUGUGAAGGCAGGGGCAUUUAUGAAGACCCCCACAUACCCUGCUUGUGGA